CUUGGUCAUUUAGAGGAAGUAAAAGUCGUAACAAGGUUUCCGUAGGUGAACCUGCGGAAGGAUCACUAGUGAUUAAAUCGAGAGCGUCUUAAUUGACCUCUCACCCUUCACAUCCACAUACACCCUGUGAAUCGUUUGGCUUUUCAUUAAUAGAGCGCAAGCUCGACAAGUGAAAAGUCAUCAUUUAUACAUACCCCAGUCUUAUGAAUGUAACAGUUUUAAUAAACAUAAUAAAACUUUUAACAACGGAUCUCUUGGUUCUCGCAUCGAUGAAGAACGCAGCGAAAUGCGAUAAGUAAUGUGAAUUGCAGAAUUCAGUGAAUCAUCGAAUCUUUGAACGCACCUUGCGCUCCUUGGUAUUCCGAGGAGCAUGCCUGUUUGAGUGUCAUGAAACUCUCACCCUUCAACUUUCUUAAUAGUGGUUGCAGGCGUGGACUUGAGCGCUGCUGGUCUUUAUUGACCGGCUCGCUUGAAAUGAAUUAGCAGAUCCUUUUUGUAAUCGGUUCCACUCGACGUGAUAAGUAUUUCGCCGAGGACAUCUUAACGGAUGGCCGAGAUAAGAAAAGUCUUUUAGAUCCGCUUCUAAUUCUUAGCCCUACGCAAGUAAGCUAAACCCAUUUUAUGAUCUGGCCUCAAAUCAGGUAGGACUACCCGCUGAACUUAAGCAUAUCAAUAAGCGGAGGAAAAGAAACUAACAAGGAUUCCCCUAGUAACGGCGAGUGAAGCGGGAUGAGCUCAAAUUUAAAAUCUUGCAGCCUCAGGUUGUACGAGUUGUAGUCUAGAGAAUCGUUUUCCGCGUUGGCCUGUGUACAAGUCCCUUGGAACAGGGCGUCAUAGAGGGUGAGGAUCCCGUCCUUGACACAGAUCUCCAGUGCUUUGUGAUGCGCUCUCAAAGAGUCGAGUUGUUUGGGAAU
This 914-nucleotide small RNA is filed under the name uncultured Cryptococcus. RNAcentral's name for it is "eukaryotic LSU rRNA". The stretch from base 628 to 914 matches the Rfam family "Eukaryotic large subunit ribosomal RNA", at positions 1 to 281 of the family's 3401-position model. Lineage: Eukaryota; Fungi; Basidiomycota; Tremellomycetes. The record is from RNAcentral.